CUAGCGGCGGACGGGUGAGUAACGCGUGGGAACGUGCCCUUUGCUACGGAAUAGCCUCUGGAAACGGAGAGUAAUACCGUAUGUGCCCUUUGGGGGAAAGAUUUAUCGGCAAAGGAUCGGCCCGCGUUGGAUUAGGUAGUUGGUGGGGUAAUGGCCCACCAAGCCGACGAUCCAUAGCUGGUUUGAGAGGAUGAUCAGCCACACUGGGACUGAGACACGGCCCAGACUCCUACGGGAGGCAGCAGUGGGGAAUCUUAGACAAUGGGGGCAACCCUGAUCUAGCCAUGCCGCGUGAGUGAUGAAGGCCUUAGGGUUGUAAAGCUCUUUCAGCUGGGAAGAUAAUGACGGUACCAGCAGAAGAAGCCCCGGCUAACUCCGUGCCAGCAGCCGCGGUAAUACGGAGGGGGCUAGCGUUGUUCGGAAUUACUGGGCGUAAAGCGCACGUAGGCGGACUGGAAAGUUGGGGGUGAAAUCCCGGGGCUCAACCUCGGAACUGCCUU
Molecule: ribosomal RNA, 500 nt
Filed under: bacterium EP1.22
Lineage: Bacteria
Also listed under: 1 other name
Description: bacterial SSU rRNA
Rfam family: Bacterial small subunit ribosomal RNA
Source: RNAcentral